RNAcentral lists this ribosomal RNA (551 nucleotides) under uncultured freshwater bacterium. Its description in RNAcentral is "bacterial SSU rRNA". It matches the Rfam family "Bacterial small subunit ribosomal RNA", at positions 8 to 607 of the family's 1533-position model. The record is from RNAcentral.
AGAGUUUGAUCCUGGCUCAGAACGAACGCUGGCGGCAGGCCUAACACAUGCAAGUCGAGCGAGGGGUAACCCUAGCGGCGGACGGGUGAGUAACGCGUGGGAACGUGCCCUUUGCUACGGAAUAGCCCCUGGAAACGGGGAGUAAUGCCGUAUGAGCCCUUAGGGGGAAAGAUUUAUCGGCAAAGGAUCGGCCCGCGUUGGAUUAGGUAGUUGGUGGGGUAAUGGCCUACCAAGCCGACGAUCCAUAGCUGGUUUGAGAGGAUGAUCAGCCACACUGGGACUGAGACACGGCCCAGACUCCUACGGGAGGCAGCAGUGGGGAAUCUUAGACAAUGGGCGCAAGCCUGAUCUAGCCAUGCCGCGUGAGCGAUGAAGGCCUUAGGGUUGUAAAGCUCUUUCAGGGGGGAAGAUAAUGACUGUACCCCCAGAAGAAGCCCCGGCUAACUCCGUGCCAGCAGCCGCGGUAAUACGGAGGGGGCUAGCGUUGUUCGGAAUUACUGGGCGUAAAGCGCACGUAGGCGGACUGGAAAGUCAGGGGUGAAAUCCCGGGG